AUUGAACGCUGGCGGCAGGCUUAACACAUGCAAGUCGAGCGGGGUGAUGGUGCUUGCACUAUCACUUAGCGGCGGACGGGUGAGUAAUGCUUAGGAAUCUGCCUAUUAGUGGGGGACAACAUCUCGAAAGGGAUGCUAAUACCGCAUACGUCCUACGGGAGAAAGCAGGGGAUCACUUGUGACCUUGCGCUAAUAGAUGAGCCUAAGUCGGAUUAGCUAGUUGGUGGGGUAAAGGCCUACCAAGGCGACGAUCUGUAGCGGGUCUGAGAGGAUGAUCCGCCACACUGGGACUGAGACACGGUCCAGACUCCUACGGGAGGCAGCAGUGGGGAAUAUUGGACAAUGGGGGGAACCCUGCUCCAGCCAUGCCGCGCGUGUGAAGAAGGCCUUAUGGUUGUAAAGCACUUUAAGCGAGGAGGAGGCUCUUUUGGUUAAUACCCAAGAUGAGUGGACGUUACUCGCAGAAUAAGCACCGGCUAACUCUGUGCCAGCCGCCGCCGUAA
Molecule: ribosomal RNA, 503 nt
Filed under: uncultured bacterium
Lineage: Bacteria
Description: partial 16S ribosomal RNA
Rfam family: Bacterial small subunit ribosomal RNA
Source: RNAcentral